GACGAACGCUGGCGGCGUGCUUAAUACAUGCCAGUCGAACGAACAGGCCCUGCUUUUGCUCCUUGCACGUGUGCCGCACGCGUGUGUAACACGCGUGUAACCUGCCCUUGUCUUUCGGAUAACUUCACGGAACUGCGGAGCUUAUCCGAUAGGAGCUCUUGCUCAGUGGUGGGGGUUGGUAAGUUUCGGUCGUUGGGGAUGGACUCGCGGUUUACGAGCCUGUUUGUGGGGUAGUGGCGUACCAAGGCUUUGACUGGUAGCCGGCCUGAGCGGGUGAACAGGCACAUUGGGACUGAGAUACGGCCCAGACGCCUACGGGAGGCAGCAGUGGGGAAUAUUGCACAAUGGGCGGAAGCCUGAUGCAGCAACGCCGCGUGCGGGAUGACGUGCUUCGGGUUGUAAACCGCUUUCGCCGGUGACGAAGCGUGAGUGACGGUAAUGGGUAAAGAAGCACCGGCUAACUACGUG
RNAcentral lists this ribosomal RNA (468 nucleotides) under uncultured bacterium. RNAcentral's name for it is "partial 16S ribosomal RNA". It matches the Rfam family "Bacterial small subunit ribosomal RNA", at positions 28 to 507 of the family's 1533-position model. The record is from RNAcentral.